This 372-nucleotide ribosomal RNA is filed under the name uncultured bacterium. RNAcentral's name for it is "bacterial SSU rRNA". It matches the Rfam family "Bacterial small subunit ribosomal RNA", at positions 524 to 898 of the family's 1533-position model. The record is from RNAcentral.
UACGGAGGGUGCAAGCGUUAUCCGGAUUUAUUGGGUUUAAAGGGAGCGUAGGCGGGAUUGUAAGUCAGUGGUGAAAGCCCGUAGCUCAACUACGGAACUGCCAUUGAUACUGCAAACCUAGAGUACACUUGAAGUGGGCGGAAUGUGUCAUGUAGCGGUGAAAUGCUUAGAUAUGACACAGAACACCGAUUGCGAAGGCAGCUCACUAAAUUGUAACUGACGCUGAGGCUCGAAAGCGUGGGGAUCAAACAGGAUUAGAUACCCUGGUAGUCCACGCUGUAAACGAUGAUCACUCGAUGUUGGCGAUACACUGUCAGCGUCUGAGCGAAAGCAUUAAGUGAUCCACCUGGGGAGUACGGUCGCAAGACUGAA